AUUUCUGCAAAGGAGGUGACAUCAGUUGUUGUCACAGCUGCUGUUGUGCCUAGGACACUUCUUUCUCUGGACUACAGACUCCUGUGAAGUGCUUCCACUGACAUUCUGGCAAAGGCUGGAACAAGAAAAGGAAAUCUCCCCAGAGUUCGACCUGUAGGAUCAAACUCAUCAGCCCCCAAGUAAGAGAAACCUACUUACCCAUAAACAUGAUGGCUGCAA
This 219-nucleotide long non-coding RNA is filed under the name Chrysolophus pictus (golden pheasant). RNAcentral describes it as "lncRNA (ENSCPIG00010010767.1)". Lineage: Eukaryota; Metazoa; Chordata; Aves; Galliformes; Phasianidae. The record is from RNAcentral.